Aegilops tauschii subsp. strangulata is the source of this 967-nucleotide long non-coding RNA. RefSeq lists it as uncharacterized. NCBI's taxonomy places the organism in Eukaryota, Viridiplantae, Streptophyta, Magnoliopsida, Poales, Poaceae. The record is from RefSeq and is a predicted model, not a curated record.
CUCUUAUCUACUGCAGCUUCUAGGUCCUUCGGAUCCCUUCCCCUGUUAAAAAAACCUUGUCUGUCACUUGGUGUGGGUAUGGGUGUUAUGCAGGAGAGGUCGCAUGUGGGUGGGAAUCGGUGGAAAUAAACAACUGGACCAGGAUGAGGUAGUGGUGCGUGGGACCCCUAGUGGACGCGUGUGCAUCUGACGCAAGGCGGCUAGAGGCAUUUACAAUGUGCUGGAUUAGAUCAAUUCUCCAUCUCCAUCCAGAGACUUGAAAACAAACAGCACAGCGCUUUCCUUUUUCCCCUAAAAAAGCAGCGGCAGAGCGCAGCCCCCUUCUCCCCCCAUAUCCAAUCGCGCCCUCGUUGAGGAAGCAGGCAGCCUCCGAGGCGCCCCUCUCCCGCAGCUCGAACCCGAGUGGGUCGAGCCAGUCACCCCCGCCGGCGAUCUGCAGCAGCAGCAGCAAGACCCGCCGGAGAACUCAGAACAACAACAAUGGCGCUGCCACUAUAGAGCUGCCGUCACGCCCGCAUCAAGUUCGCCGAAAUCUGUGCACCCACGCCCGCCGCUGCGACCUAGCAUGCCCGCGUCACAGCAGGAGAAGGACCAUCUCCGGCAAGUGGCCUCGACCGCCUCCUUCUAUUCCUGCUCGCGGCCAGCGCCUCGUCCAAGCGCAGACCACCAGCCGCCUCGCCCUCUGCUGUCGUCCCGAUUUGGCCCGCCACUUCAUCCUCGUUGGUGAGCGGCAAGCAGGCCAUGAGAGAGGGGGCGACGAGGAAGGGGGGUGUACCGAAGCUGGUUGCGUGGGAGCGAAGGUCGCGUGGCUAUGUGGGCCUGAUUUACUGGGCCGAAGCGCACGGGUGGGCAUCGUUUGGUUGAUGCACACGACCUGGUUCUCCGAAUUAGUAUCAUCUCACCCAUAUGUUUUAAAUUUAAACUGAAAGCGUAAAUUUACAGGAAGAAAACGUAUUGUGACGAUGAA